UGAGGAAUAUUGCGCAAUGGGGGAAACCCUGACGCAGCGACGCCGCGUGGAUGAUGAAGGCCUUCGGGUCGUAAAAUCCUGUCAGGUGGAAAGAAAUGUAGUAUGCCUAAUACGUGUACUAUUUGACGGUACCACCAAAGGAAGCACCGGCUAACUCCGUGCCAGCAGCCGCGGUAAUACGGAGGGUGCAAGCGUUGUUCGGAAUUACUGGGCGUAAAGCGCGCGUAGGCGGUUUUAUAAGUCAGAUGUGAAAGUCCCCGGCUCAACCGUGGAAGUGCAUUUGAAACUGUGGAACUUGAGUACUGGAGGGGGUGGUGGAAUUCCCGGUGUAGAGGUGAAAUUCGUAGAUAUCGGGAGGAAUACCGGUGGCGAAGGCGACCACCUGGCCAGAUACUGACGCUGAGGUGCGAAAGCGUGGGGAGCAAACA
Molecule: ribosomal RNA, 428 nt
Filed under: uncultured Desulfobacterales bacterium
Lineage: Bacteria; Pseudomonadati; Thermodesulfobacteriota; Desulfobacteria; Desulfobacterales
Description: bacterial SSU rRNA
Rfam family: Bacterial small subunit ribosomal RNA
Source: RNAcentral